GGCCCUGCCCCCGCGCCGCACCGCGCUGCGCUGCGCCGUUCCGCGCCCCGGCCGGCAGGCGGCACGGGGCCGCCCGGCCCGGCCGCGAGGGGCAGCGGCGGGGGCGGGCGGCGCCCCUCUCCCGCGCGCGCCCCGGCGGGGCCCUCGCUGCGUGCGGGGAGGCGGGGGGCGCUGCCCUCGCCAGGCGCCGGCUGAAGCGGCCGUUGGGGCCGUUAACUGCCGCCGCGCCGGCUGUCAGCGGCCGCCCGGCAGCAGUGCGGCGGCGCGGGCCGCGGGUGCGGGGCGGCACGGGCGCAGGGGCCCCCUCCCUUGUCCCGUGCAGCAGCCCGCUACGUAAAAUCGUGAGAGACUCGUGUUUUUUGUUUUUUGUUUUUUUUUCGGGUGACACAUCACAACGUCCCGCAGCUGAUGUAGUGUUUGCGCUCUAUCAAAACGGUGGCCGCGAUCUCGAUGUGGACAUUUCGGGUGUGGGGGGGGGAGAAGUAAAAAGUUCUCUUGCACAGCAUUAAUAAUGCCUUAACGUAUACAAUUUCAUGGAAUGUGUGAUAGACCAUACUGGGGGGAAAAAAAAAAAGUUGACUUUGGACUUUGUAUUAAAAAAAUGGUCAGAACUGGCUAUCGGGAUUUAGUGCUACUUCAGACUUGCUACCCCGGCUUAAUUUUCUAUUUAGGCAACUUAAAACUCCUUCUGAAUUGCAUAUAACUAAUCCUUACUUUAGCAGUUGGCAAAUUCCUUUACUAAAUCGAUGGAUUAAGUGCUGGGCAUUGAGAAUGCUCUAGGGAAUAGCUAGAUGAACAUGCAAAUCUUUAUUUUUUAUUUGGCUUAGUUACUUUAAAAAUGUCUCACAUUAAAAAAAGCUCAGUGUUUAUUUUUAUUUUUAGUAUUAAGGAUUGAGGGGGAAAUGAAAUAUAUCUGUCAGCAUCCUGUUGCACAGGAAUCAAAACUACAACAAUAAACUGUUGCAUGUUUGGCAGGCUUAGAACAAAGAAACAGCUGUCCACAUUCCUGGGUUCCGCCCCUAAUGUCAUUUUACCAUCGCUAAUAAGUAUUGUAAAGCUCAAGAAAAGUUUGGAAGAGUUUUGAGAUCACAAUAUGUACAAUGUUUUAAAGCUACGUGAUGGAUAAUGUCAUCCUUGUGAAAGACCCAGGGUUUAGCUUCAAGAUUGCAAGUGUAUUUAUUGAGAACAGCUUGAAAUAGAGAUUUUUAUUUGAAAUAGUUGACACAUUUUCCGUUCUCUAAUUAUCAUUAAAAAAUGAAGCUUGAAGUUAAGACAUACCUAUUAUUGUAUAGACUUCCUGUUACUAAACGGAGUGUGAUAUGUCUGACUGAUACAAUGUAGUGAUGCAGUGUUGGAUUUUACAUGAAUUUUUGGAUGAAUGGAGCAAGACUUUCUGAAGAAUGUCGCUAACAUGGGCCCUUGACAUCUUGCAGCCUUUCAGUGCUUUUAAAGCAAGACUUCAAAGCAAUGUCAGACUUCCAUGUAUCUCAUGGUAGUGUUGACAUAUAACUGUUUCUGCAAAUACUGGACUCCAGAUGCUGUUCUAACUUUUACAUUGUUCUAGCAAAAAAAAAAAAAAAUGGCAAUAAAACACUUGACCAAACAAAACAGUGGGUCACCUUUAUUCUGUACAAUAGCUAAAGCGGUGCUGCUCCUGAUAUACACAGAGGAGUGUUGAGGUAAAACUUGUCUUGUAUUAGCCCAUAUGCAGUGUGUGUUCGCUUUCAAUUUUGAAUCCAGUUAGUGUCUGGAUUUUCCCACACUGUAUGGAACCUACUGGUACUAGUCUCUAUGUAGACACUUCAUUGCUUGAACCAAUACAGAGAGUCGUUUAGCAACAAUCUUACGAUAGUCCUGACUCCCUAAUAUGGUUAGAGCACUGAACUCUGAGGAAUAGAAUUGGAGUGAAUGAAAACUUCACUACCUGUAAAAAGUCACCAGCAUGUCUGAAAAUACCUGUUGUUCUAUUUUGUAUGUUUAUGCACUUAUGUAAAGUUGCAGCUAAACUGAUGAAGUUGCUGUUUACCUUCUGGGUUUAUCAUCCAACUGCAUUCAGAAAUGGAAUCAAGAUUCCAUUUAAAAAUUACUAUUGUUUUGCCUGUAUUAUUUUUAUUGGAAGGUUGUUUGUGAACUUUCUGCCUCCCAUAGCUAGAAAUGAAUGUCAUUUUCCAACCUAAAUUAAUUUGUGGUCCAUUUGUGCCUAUUUGUGAUAAUCCUGUCUCUUACCUAGAAGAGGUUUCUUCAGUCCUUGGUGCCCACUCUGACAUAUUAGUACAGAAAAUUGUGGUCCGUACCAGCCUAUGUUUUCCUACCUUCAAUAAGCUAUAUUUCCUUUGCCUUAUCAUAAAAUUGAAUUUAUAAAAUCUAAUUAUAUGAGAGCACAGCUCUGCUCUGCACUUGUUUCCCUUUGAAUUAAUCAUUCUUGUGCAAAUCUGGUCAUCUGUGUUCACAGCAUUAUAGGUAGUCUCACGCUCAAUGCUGCUGAUACCUGCUAAAACUACAUUUAUCAAAUGAGGUAUCUUCUUCAUAUUAAAGGCUUAUAUAUGUGUUAUCACUUAAUAUCCCUAGGUCCUUUUUUCCUGUGGUUGUUCCUCACUAACAAGCCUCUAGCUUUUAGUAGAAAUUCCUAUUAGUCCUUGAGUGCAUGACCUUGUACUUUGUCCUAUUAUUCCAUUCCAUUUCUGUUGUUCUAGUUCUAAAGAUCAUUUGGUUGUUUGUAGGAUUUUUCUAAUCUUUUGCCUCUAGUGAUGCCUGCAACUUCUGUGUCAUCAGAUAACUUCACUUCUCUCAGUGACCUGAACAGAAAUGCAAGUGUGGGAUUGAUCUGAAAUGUGAUUCUUGAUAAACUAGAGUAGUAAUUUCCUGUCAGAUCAGUAAUCUCUAUCACAUAACCACUGUCAUUUCACUGUUAGCCUGUUGUUUUUCUAACUGUAUGCAUCUUUCCAUCCCCCUCUUCUUUUUUUUUUUUUUUCCUUCAGUUCUGUCACAUCAUAGUUGGUGUGCAGUUUAGGAACAUAUUUAUCAAUCACACUGUACUUAUUAGAACAGUCAAUUAUCAUAUCAAAGAAAGACACUGGAUUCCCAUACACCUCCUUGUCUAUAAUGCCUCUUUGAUAUCUGUUCUAGGCUUUUAUUCUUCUUUGGUCUGGCUCAUGGACUAUAGGUUUUUCAUUGUUUAAAAACUUUUUUUCAAUAGCUAAAUACUGCUUCCAUGCAUCAGUUCUUGGAAUAUGGUGGAGUGUUACUGUCUGAUUAUGUGAACAUACAAAGUCAUCUCUGGCUGAUUCCAAAUCAGAUAGGAAUGCCAUUACAAUUUUUAUAUGUUAAUCUUCAUUGGCUCAACCUGCUGUCAUAUCUUUCUUUGGCCUGUGACAAAGGAAGGGGACAGUGUGAACACAAUGGCAGAAAUACAGAUGUUUGUUCAAACAUUGAGAAGGAGUUGCAGAAUUUGGCUUUGACAAGAACUGGCGAGCAAUGCUGGGAGAAGAGAAAGUGUGACAAGACUGCCAAAAAGCAGAAGAGUCCAGAAUAAAAUUAGGCUUCCUUCCAUUUCUUCCACAUCUUUGCUGCGCUGGGUAUCAUAGUAGCUAGGGAUCUUAAGGAAACCAUGGAAGUUUCAAUAUACAUUGCAUGUUACCAAGAGGAAGGAAUCUCAGAUAUUGGUACUCAGGACAAAUUUGAUGCAUUAACUUGCAUGUUAGAAAUUCUGUGGAAAGCAGAGUUUAUUUGAGACUGGAAGGAGUUCGGCAACAGAACACACAGAGGAAGAAAGCUCAGUGACCCAUCUGAGGCUUUCUUGGCUGGCACAUGUGGUCUGUGAGAUCAAAUGGAAGAAGAAAUAGGCACAAAAGGAUGUGUUUUGAGAAGUGCAGCUGUGAUGUUGAGGAGUGGAAGAAAUGCUUGUUAGACCAAAGGCAAAAGGAUGAGCAGAGUGCAGGCAAACAUAUAGCUCCAGUGUACAGAUCCUGAGACAGUGAACACAGAUGGAACAAGACACCUGGGGACAUGUGCAUUUCCUCGGUCAUUGCUUUAAAUAUACCCAGUGAUAUCUUCUCAGUGCUUAGCUGUAUGCUUCUUCCAACUUAGCUGCUAGCCCUACACAUCUCUGUAUCCCUUCUUCUUAAUUCCAAUGGAAAAUAAAUGCAAUUUUUUUUU
Dromaius novaehollandiae (emu) is the source of this 4155-nucleotide long non-coding RNA. RefSeq lists it as uncharacterized. Lineage: Eukaryota; Metazoa; Chordata; Aves; Casuariiformes; Dromaiidae. The record is from RefSeq and is a predicted model, not a curated record. The transcript has 2 exons.